RNAcentral lists this ribosomal RNA (465 nucleotides) under uncultured bacterium. RNAcentral's name for it is "partial 16S ribosomal RNA". It matches the Rfam family "Bacterial small subunit ribosomal RNA", at positions 338 to 795 of the family's 1533-position model. The record is from RNAcentral.
CCUACGUGCGGCAGCAGUAGGGAAUCUUCCACAAUGGGCGAAAGCCUGAUGGAGCAACGCCGCGUGGGUGAAGAAGGUCUUCGGAUCGUAAAACCUUGUUGUUAGAGAAGAAAGUUCGUGAGAGUAACUGUUCACGUUUCGACGGUAUCUAACCAGACAGCCACGGCUAACUCCGUGCCAGCAGCCGCGGUAAUACGUAGGUGGCAAGCGUUAUCCGGAUUUAUUGGGCGUAAAGGUAACGCAGGCGGUUUGUUAAGUCUGAUGUGAAAGCCUUCGGCUCAACCGGAGGAGUGCAUUGGAAACUGGCAGACUUGAGUGCAGAAGAGGAGAGUGGAACUCGAUGUGUAGCGGUGAAAUGCGUAGAUAUAUGGAAGAACACCAGUGGCGAAAGCGGCUUUCUGGUCUGUAACUGACGCUGAGGUUCGAAAGCGUGGGUAGCAAACAGGAUUAGAUACCCCAGUAGUC